RNAcentral lists this ribosomal RNA (359 nucleotides) under uncultured bacterium. RNAcentral's name for it is "bacterial SSU rRNA". It matches the Rfam family "Bacterial small subunit ribosomal RNA", at positions 28 to 408 of the family's 1533-position model. The record is from RNAcentral.
AUUGAACGCUGGCGGCAUGGCUAAAGCAUGCAAGUCGUACGAGAACCGCGCAAGCGGGGACAGUGGCGGAAGGGCGAGUAAUGCGCUCCUACGUGCCCCAAGGUGGGGGAUAGGUCGGGGAAACUCGGCGUAAUACCCCAUGUGCUCUUCGGAGGAAAGCUUUUGCGUCUCGGGAGCGGGGAGCGUCCUAUCAGGUAGUUGGAGGGGUAACGGCCCACCAAGCCAAUGACGGGUAGCGGGUGUGAGAGCACGACCCGCCGCAUCGGGACUGAGACACUGCCCGGGACUCCUACGGGAGGCUGCAGCGACGAAUAUUCCGCAAUGCACGAAAGUGUGACGGAGCAAUGCCGCGUGCAGGA